RNAcentral lists this long non-coding RNA (201 nucleotides) under Elaeis guineensis (African oil palm). Its description in RNAcentral is "long non-coding RNA (EGUI_LNC040110)". Lineage: Eukaryota; Viridiplantae; Streptophyta; Magnoliopsida; Arecales; Arecaceae. The record is from RNAcentral.
GGUCCAUGCGAUUUUGUAUCACGAUCCAUGGUGGUAAAGAAAUUUCUUACGGUCCACGUGGAGUUCUGUGGACUGGAGUGCAAUCAGAUGGCUGAGAGCUCAGCCGAUCGCAAUCGAAUGGUGGUGGGUGUGAUCUAGAGCUGAUCUAAAGAAUGGGAUGCUUGAUCAGGACACGAUCAAGCAGCCAGAAUGGCUUGCAGU